RNAcentral lists this ribosomal RNA (325 nucleotides) under Enterobacter hormaechei subsp. xiangfangensis. Its description in RNAcentral is "partial 23S ribosomal RNA". It matches the Rfam family "Bacterial large subunit ribosomal RNA", at positions 22 to 474 of the family's 2925-position model. The record is from RNAcentral. Lineage: Bacteria; Pseudomonadati; Pseudomonadota; Gammaproteobacteria; Enterobacterales; Enterobacteriaceae.
CGGUGGAUGCCCUGGCAGUCAGAGGCGAUGAAGGACGUGCUAAUCUGCGAAAAGCGCCGGCGAGGUGAUAUGAACCCUUGACCCGGCGAUGUCCGAAUGGGGAAACCCAGUGUGUUCCGACACACUAUCGUUAACUGAAUACAUAGGUUAACGAGGCGAACCGGUCUGAAUCAGCUUGUGUGUUAGUGGAACGGUCUGGAAAGUCCGACGGUACAGGGUGAUAGUCCCGUACACGAAAAUGCACAGGUUGUGAACUCGAAGAGUAGGGCGGGACACGUGGUAUCCUGUCUGAAUAUGGGGGGACCAUCCUCCAAGGCUAAAUACU